This 492-nucleotide ribosomal RNA is filed under the name uncultured bacterium. RNAcentral's name for it is "partial 16S ribosomal RNA". It matches the Rfam family "Bacterial small subunit ribosomal RNA", at positions 29 to 507 of the family's 1533-position model. The record is from RNAcentral.
AGUGAACGCUGGCGAUAGGCCUAACACAUGCAAGUCGAACGGCAGCACAGUAAGAGCUUGCUCUUACGGGUGGCGAGUGGCGGACGGGUGAGGAAUACAUCGGAAUCUACUUUUUCGUGGGGGAUAACGUAGGGAAACUUACGCUAAUACCGCAUACGACCUACGGGUGAAAGCAGGGGAUCUUCGGACCUUGCGCGAUUGAAUGAGCCGAUGUCGGAUUAGCUAGUUGGCGGGGUAAAGGCCCACCAAGGCGACGAUCCGUAGCUGGUCUGAGAGGAUGAUCAGCCACACUGGAGCUGAGACACGGUCCAGACUCCUACGGGAGGCAGCAGUGGGGAAUAUUGGACAAUGGGCGCAAGCCUGAUCCAGCCAUACCGCGUGGGUGAAGAAGGCCUUCGGGUUGUAAAGCCCUUUUGUUGGGAAAGAAAAGCAGCAGGUUAAUACCCCGCUGUUCUGACGGUACCCAAAGAAUAAGCACCGGCUAACUUCGUG